GCGGCGGACGGGUGAGUAACACGUGGAUAACCUACCUAUAAGACUGGGAUAACUUCGGGAAACCGGAGCUAAUACCGGAUAACAUAUUGAACCGCAUGGUUCAAUAGUGAAAGGCGGCUUUGCUGUCACUUAUAGAUGGAUCCGCGCCGUAUUAGCUAGUUGGUAAGGUAACGGCUUACCAAGGCAACGAUACGUAGCCGACCUGAGAGGGUGAUCGGCCACACUGGAACUGAGACACGGUCCAGACUCCUACGGGAGGCAGCAGUAGGGAAUCUUCCGCAAUGGGCGAAAGCCUGACGGAGCAACGCCGCGUGAGUGAUGAAGGUCUUCGGAUCGUAAAACUCUGUUAUCAGGGAAGAACAAAUGUGUAAGUAACUGUGCACAUCUUGACGGUACCUGAUCAGAAAGCCACGGCUA
RNAcentral lists this ribosomal RNA (417 nucleotides) under Staphylococcus warneri. Its description in RNAcentral is "bacterial SSU rRNA". It matches the Rfam family "Bacterial small subunit ribosomal RNA", at positions 95 to 499 of the family's 1533-position model. Lineage: Bacteria; Bacillati; Bacillota; Bacilli; Caryophanales; Staphylococcaceae. The record is from RNAcentral.